Molecule: ribosomal RNA, 467 nt
Filed under: uncultured bacterium
Lineage: Bacteria
Description: partial 16S ribosomal RNA
Rfam family: Bacterial small subunit ribosomal RNA
Source: RNAcentral
GACGAACGCUGGCGGCGUGCUUAACACAUGCAAGUCGAACGGAAAGGCCCUGCUUUUGUGGGGUGCUCGAGUGGCGAACGGGUGAGUAACACGUGAGUAACCUGCCCUUGACUUUGGGAUAACUUCAGGAAACUGGGGCUAAUACCGGAUAGGAGCUCCUGCGGCAUGGUGGGGGUUGGAAAGUUUCGGCGGUUGGGGAUGGACUCGCGGCUUAUCAGCUUGUUGGUGGGGUAGUGGCUUACCAAGGCUUUGACGGGUAGCCGGCCUGAGAGGGUGACCGGCCACAUUGGGACUGAGAUACGGCCCAGACGCCUACGGGAGGCAGCAGUGGGGAAUAUUGCACAAUGGGCGGAAGCCUGAUGCAGCAACGCCGCGUGCGGGAUGACGGCCUUCGGGUUGUAAACCGCUUUCGCCUGUGACAAGCGUGAGUGACGGUAAUGGGUAAAGAAGCACCGGCUAACUACGUG